GAUGAACGCUGGCGGCGUGCCUAAUACAUGCAAGUCGAGCGAACGGACGAGAAGCUUGCUUCUCUGAUGUUAGCGGCGGACGGGUGAGUAACACGUGGAUAACCUACCUAUAAGACUGGGAUAACUUCGGGAAACCGGAGCUAAUACCGGAUAAUAUUUUGAACCGCAUGGUUCAAAAGUGAAAGACGGUCUUGCUGUCACUUAUAGAUGGAUCCGCGCUGCAUUAGCUAGUUGGUAAGGUAAAGGCUUACCAAGGCAACGAUGCAUAGCCGACCUGAGAGGGUGAUCGGCCACACUGGAACUGAGACACGGUCCAGACUCCUACGGGAGGCAGCAGUAGGGAAUCUUCCGCAAUGGGCGAAAGCCUGACGGAGCAACGCCGCGUGAGUGAUGAAGGUCUUCGGAUCGUAAAACUCUGUUAUUAGGGAAGAACAUAAGUGUAAGUAACUGUGCACAUCUUGACGGUACCUAAUCAGAAAGCCACGGCUAACUACGUG
RNAcentral lists this ribosomal RNA (497 nucleotides) under uncultured bacterium. RNAcentral describes it as "partial 16S ribosomal RNA". It matches the Rfam family "Bacterial small subunit ribosomal RNA", at positions 28 to 507 of the family's 1533-position model. The record is from RNAcentral.